CCAAUAGCGUAUAUUAAAGUUGUUGCAGUUAAAAAGCUCGUAGUUGAAUUUCAGGCCUGGCUGGACGGUCCGCCCUUCGGGUGAGUACUGCCUGUGGUCGGGUCCUACCUUCUGGCGAAGCGUCAUGGCCUUAACCGGCCGUGGCGGGGAACCAGGACUUUUACUGUGAAAAAAUUAGAGUGUUCAAAGCAGGCAAAUCG
RNAcentral lists this ribosomal RNA (200 nucleotides) under uncultured Paraglomeraceae. RNAcentral's name for it is "partial small subunit ribosomal RNA". It matches the Rfam family "Eukaryotic small subunit ribosomal RNA", at positions 591 to 791 of the family's 1831-position model. The record is from RNAcentral. Lineage: Eukaryota; Fungi; Glomeromycota; Glomeromycetes; Paraglomerales.